Molecule: ribosomal RNA, 753 nt
Filed under: Listeria monocytogenes
Lineage: Bacteria; Bacillati; Bacillota; Bacilli; Caryophanales; Listeriaceae
Description: bacterial LSU rRNA
Rfam family: Bacterial large subunit ribosomal RNA
Source: RNAcentral
GAGGACCGAACCGACUUACGUUGAAAAGUGAGCGGAUGAACUGAGGGUAGCGGAGAAAUUCCAAUCGAACUUGGAGAUAGCUGGUUCUCUCCGAAAUAGCUUUAGGGCUAGCCUCAAGUGAUGAUUAUUGGAGGUAGAGCACUGUUUGGACGAGGGGCCCCUCUCGGGUUACCGAAUUCAGACAAACUCCGAAUGCCAAUCAAUUUAACUUGGGAGUCAGAACAUGGGUGAUAAGGUCCGUGUUCGAAAGGGAAACAGCCCAGACCACCAGCUAAGGUCCCAAAAUAUAUGUUAAGUGGAAAAGGAUGUGGCGUUGCCCAGACAACUAGGAUGUUGGCUUAGAAGCAGCCAUCAUUUAAAGAGUGCGUAAUAGCUCACUAGUCGAGUGACACUGCGCCGAAAAUGUACCGGGGCUAAACAUAUUACCGAAGCUGUGGAUUGUCCUUCGGACAAUGGUAGGAGAGCGUUCUAAGGGCGUUGAAGCAUGAUCGCAAGGACAUGUGGAGCGCUUAGAAGUGAGAAUGCCGGUGUGAGUAGCGAAAGACGGGUGAGAAUCCCGUCCACCGAUUGACUAAGGUUUCCAGAGGAAGGCUCGUCCGCUCUGGGUUAGUCGGGUCCUAAGCUGAGGCCGACAGGCGUAGGCGAUGGAUAACAGGUUGAUAUUCCUGUACCACCUAGUAUCGUUUUAAUCGAUGGGGGGACGCAGUAGGAUAGGCGAAGCGUGCUGUUGGAGUGCACGUCCAAGCAGUAAGG